This is a non-coding RNA of Macaca mulatta (Rhesus monkey), 2157 nucleotides long. Lineage: Eukaryota; Metazoa; Chordata; Mammalia; Primates; Cercopithecidae. The record is from RefSeq and is a predicted model, not a curated record.
AGAAAGUAAAAGGCAUGGCUGGAUCUUUCUCAAAAAUAAGAUCCCGGAUAGCAGACUAGGUAUAAAACGCAAGGAGAUGGAAAGAUCAUUUGGAUUCAAAUAAAGCAGAAAUCAUGAGCCAAGUGUCCUUCCUCAGAGGAUGGAACUGAGCGGGAAUGGUCCACAGCAGAGGGCUCCUUGUUGAGUGACUGAAGGUCCUGGACACCUCUGCACCCAACACCCAGGCCAUUUUUGGUGACCAGGGAGCCUCUUUCACCAAGUUCAGAGGAAGCAAAAUGUCCGUGGGAGGAGUUCUUAAAAAUCAUGGCAGCCCCUUCUACAACUAGGAAUCUCUAUUGAGGUCACCUGGAUGCAGAUCACCUUUCUUCUGGGAAGACACUGGAAUCUUACCUCCGUAGUUACAAAGAUAUGAUGACAUAGGGGAUGAUGUUCGUUCAAGGUAUCCUCAGAGGAAGCAAUACCUCGAGGUAGUUCAUCUAAGUGGGGACAUUUCUGCAGGAUUUCAAACAACGCACCUGGUGUGAAGCAUUAUACAUUUCAAGAACACCAAAUACAGAUGUAUAAGAAAGUGGAGGAAUGAAAACAACUCAAAAAUACAUUCAAACGGAGCACUCUGGUUACCCUGGACUACUGUAUUUCCUACCCAGCCCAGUUCCAUUGAUGUAACGUCCUACCACCCAGAAGAUCCUCCUAUUUUAAGACACUAUCUUGCAAAUGCCCCUGCUCCAUACUCAGACUACUGCAAUUACACAGUAAGAUUAAUGAAUUCACAGGCUGUUUCUGAGGAUUUAAUGACUUCUUAAUAGAACAGGGUGCACACAUAGCUAGACUACUAUGACAAAUCAUAAAAGCUUCUUAAUAAGAAACCCCAAUUAGUUAAUUAAAAUUUGCUAAUUGAAAAUUCUAAGAACAGCUUGUAAAAUAUUCCAGACCUUGAGAUAAAGCAGUAAAACACAUAUCUAAUGUGCCCACCAGACAAGUUUUACAUAUCUAUGCAAUAGGAGACCUUGGUAAGUGAAACAAGAAAUGAGGAAAUAGGUCAUCACAGAGAAACCUUGAAAGUGGUCUAAUAUAUCAAGAGUGAGAACUGGAAAUUAUUAUUAUUUAUCACACAGAGAGCAGGUGCAAGGAAUGGGGUCACCUUUAUUAAUUUACUCAUACAUUUCUUACUCCUCCUACUCCGUUACAGAUUCAUCUCUCUGUAAUGGCAUAAAGGCAUAUGUAAGUAACAUUGCAUGGAUCUCACCAAUUUUGGAUAUUUUAACAUUCAUUCCUGUUCUUAAAAGAUGUACUUGAUGCUCAGGGUGGCUCUACAAGAAAAUGCUCAAAAUGUGCCUCAUUAAGAUGACUGAUGUAAAUUUUUACUAAAGAGUAGGUGAAAUGUUGUAAGGAAAGGAAUGCCUUCUAAAGCAAGUAGAGAGAAACCAUUUUUUUUUUUUUUUGCUCCAAAUGCCGCAUAACCAGUUCUAAAUUAAGGGGAAAGGAGGAAGAAGGAUAACAGAGCUACAGGACUCAACCUCCAUGAAGUCAUCACAUGGAAGCCUUGACAGUGGUCUAAUACAGCAAUCCCUAGUUUUUGUGCUGCAGAGGGAACAUGGCUGCUGCUCCACCAAAGCAAUCUGGCAGGCUAGACUUCACAGCUCACCUGAAGUAUCCUUGGAGCUAUGUACAUGGCUCCGGUGAAACCUAAAGCCCAGCCCAGGCUCUCCGAUUCGUUCUUGUUUCGAGCUGGGGGUCCAGUUCUGUGUGACUUACCUUUCCUCACCAUAACUUGGGAGUAAAGUAAGGUCAAAGGUUCUGGCUUUGACUUCAGCCUUCAAAUUUGAUUUUGCAGUCCAGACGAUACCAGAUCCACCCUGCCAUCCCCAAGUUAGGGCUCCUUACAAAGAAUUUUUGGAAAGAAGAAUGGAUGACAAUGAGGAGGGCAGAAGGGGACAAGCAGGGAAGGAGCUGGGAUGUGACCUGGUGAUAUAACUUAUAGUACUAAUAGCAGUAACUGGUUUUACUAGUAGUACCAGUAAAAGUGCAAGAGUAAUGGUAAGAUUAGCAAUAGCAGUGGUGGUGGCAGAACAGUGACAGUAGUACGAGUAAUGUUAACGGCAGCAAUCAUUUGGGGAAAUGCCUACUGAGUGGUAAAAUAAAAAGACAUGUUAUUAA